GACGAACGCUGGCGGCGUGCUUAACACAUGCAAGUCGAGCGGUAAGGCCCUUUCGGGGGUACACGAGCGGCGAACGGGUGAGUAACACGUGGGUGACCUGCCCUCAGCUCUGGGAUAAGCCUGGGAAACCGGGUCUAAUACCGGAUAUGACUCCAUGACGCAUGUUGUGGGGUGGAAAGCCUUGUGCGGCUGAGGAUGGGCCCGCGGCCUAUCAGCUUGUUGGUGGGGUGAUGGCCUACCAAGGCGACGACGGGUAGCCGGCCUGAGAGGGCGACCGGCCACACUGGGACUGAGACACGGCCCAGGCUCCUACGGGAGGCAGCAGUGGGGAAUCUUGCGCAAUGGGCGAAAGCCUGACGCAGCGACGCCGCGUGAGGGAUGACGGCCUGGUGU
RNAcentral lists this ribosomal RNA (393 nucleotides) under uncultured bacterium. Its description in RNAcentral is "bacterial SSU rRNA". It matches the Rfam family "Bacterial small subunit ribosomal RNA", at positions 28 to 422 of the family's 1533-position model. The record is from RNAcentral.